This 488-nucleotide ribosomal RNA is filed under the name uncultured bacterium. RNAcentral describes it as "partial 16S ribosomal RNA". It matches the Rfam family "Bacterial small subunit ribosomal RNA", at positions 30 to 523 of the family's 1533-position model. The record is from RNAcentral.
AUUGAACGCUGGCGGCAGGCUUAACACAUGCAAGUCGAGCGGGGACUUCGGUCCUAGCGGCGAACGGGUGAGGAAUGCUUGGGAAUCUGCCCAGUAGCGGGGGAUAACGUUUCGAAAGGAACGCUAAUACCGCAUACGCCCUACGGGGGAAAGGGGGGGAUCUUCGGACCUCUCACUAUUGGAUGAGCCCAAGUCGGAUUAGCUAGUUGGUGGGGUAAAGGCCUACCAAGGCGACGAUCCGUAGCUGGUCUGAGAGGAUGAUCAGCCACACUGGAACUGAGACACGGUCCAGACUCCUACGGGAGGCAGCAGUGGGGAAUAUUGGACAAUGGGCGAAAGCCUGAUCCAGCCAUGCCGCGUGUGUGAAGAAGGCCUUCGGGUUGUAAAGCACUUUAAGCGAGGAGGAAUGGCUGAGGGUUAAUAACCUUCAGCAGUGACGUUACUCGCAGAAUAAGCACCGGCUAACUCUGUGCCAGCCGCCGCAGUAA